This 400-nucleotide ribosomal RNA is filed under the name uncultured soil bacterium. RNAcentral describes it as "bacterial SSU rRNA". It matches the Rfam family "Bacterial small subunit ribosomal RNA", at positions 975 to 1375 of the family's 1533-position model. The record is from RNAcentral.
CAGGGCUUGACAUGGGGAGGACGCAGCCAGAGAUGGUUGUUCCCGCAAGGGCCUCCCGCACAGGUGCUGCAUGGCUGUCGUCAGCUCGUGUCGUGAGAUGUUGGGUUAAGUCCCGCAACGAGCGCAACCCUCGCCUUCAGUUGCCAGCACGUUUGGGUGGGCACUCUGAAGGAACUGCCGGUGACAAGCCGGAGGAAGGUGGGGAUGACGUCAAGUCCUCAUGGCCCUUAUGUCCUGGGCUACACACGUGCUACAAUGGCGGUGACAGCGGGAUGCCAGGUCGCAAGGCCGAGCCGAUCCCAAAAAGCCGUCUCAGUUCAGAUUGCACUCUGCAACUCGGGUGCAUGAAGGUGGAAUCGCUAGUAAUCGCGGAUCAGCAUGCCGCGGUGAAUACGUUCCC